Physella acuta is the source of this 524-nucleotide long non-coding RNA. RefSeq lists it as uncharacterized. The record is from RefSeq and is a predicted model, not a curated record. NCBI's taxonomy places the organism in Eukaryota, Metazoa, Mollusca, Gastropoda, Physidae.
ACUUGUAAGUUUAUCGUUCUUUCUCGCGUUAAUUCGUGUCUGGUUAGCCAGGGAGAGAUAAAAGUUUUCGAACUAAAUCAAUUGUUGUGAACGGGGUUUCCCAUUGAUAACAAAAAACAUGGCGGCUAUUUGUUAGUAGGUCCCGCUUCAAGAUUUCAAAAUCAUCAAACGUUCCAGAAAUGCAACAACUGUAAAAACUUUCAACGCUGUUUUGUUCAUAUGGAUGGGAACAAACACAUGUGUAUGCAUUUUUGAAUAUAAAAGUUUUGUGGCGGUACUUGGCAAGCAAUUUUCUCACACUUUACUGUGGCUAUUGGUGCUGAUCUUGAGCUAAAGGUAAAUGGAACAGCAUGGAUGUGGAUUUUUAGACACAAGGAAGCUGAAUUUAACUUUUAAUGAAGAAUUUAAAUGAUGAUUGUCCAUGAAAAGAAAUAUUAAUCAUAUACAUUGUAAUGCUGUAUUGAUGCAUCUUCUGUUUUAAGUAAUUAAAAAACCAUCCAUUUAUGAAAUUAUUUUCAUUUUUU